ACUUCCGUAGUCUAACGGUUAGGACACGGUCCUGAUAAGGCCGAUACACUAGUUCAACUCUAGUCGGAAGUA
RNAcentral lists this transfer RNA (72 nucleotides) under Caudoviricetes sp. RNAcentral's name for it is "tRNA-Ile". It matches the Rfam family "tRNA". Rfam says of the family: Transfer RNA (tRNA) molecules are approximately 80 nucleotides in length. Lineage: Duplodnaviria; Heunggongvirae; Uroviricota; Caudoviricetes. The record is from RNAcentral.